This 347-nucleotide ribosomal RNA is filed under the name uncultured maize rhizosphere bacterium c10_68. Its description in RNAcentral is "bacterial SSU rRNA". It matches the Rfam family "Bacterial small subunit ribosomal RNA", at positions 975 to 1320 of the family's 1533-position model. The record is from RNAcentral.
CAGCCCUGACAUCCCGAUCGCGGUUACCAGAGAUGGUAUCCUUCAGUUAGGCUGGAUCGGUGACAGGUGCUGCAUGGCUGUCGUCAGCUCGUGUCGUGAGAUGUUGGGUUAAGUCCCGCAACGAGCGCAACCCUCGCCCUUAGUUGCCAUCAUUCAGUUGGGCACUCUAAGGGGACUGCCGGUGAUAAGCCGAGAGGAAGGUGGGGAUGACGUCAAGUCCUCAUGGCCCUUACGGGCUGGGCUACACACGUGCUACAAUGGUGGUGACAGUGGGCAGCGAGACCGCGAGGUCGAGCUAAUCUCCAAAAGCCAUCUCAGUUCGGAUUGCACUCUGCAACUCGAGUGCA